CAUUAGAUGGCUGAAAGUAAGUGAUGGUCUCUUAAACCAUUUGAUAGUAAAUUAACAAUUACUUCUAAUG
Molecule: transfer RNA, 70 nt
Filed under: Luprops yunnanus
Lineage: Eukaryota; Metazoa; Arthropoda; Insecta; Coleoptera; Tenebrionidae
Description: tRNA-Lys
Source: RNAcentral